This 173-nucleotide non-coding RNA is filed under the name Pseudomonas sp. StFLB209. Its description in RNAcentral is "sRNA regulator of biofilms A". It matches the Rfam family "sRNA regulator of biofilms A". Rfam says of the family: Bacterial strain with deleted SrbA had reduced biofilm mass. However, the deletion of srbA had no effect on growth or antibiotic resistance in P. aeruginosa. The record is from Rfam by way of RNAcentral. Lineage: Bacteria; Pseudomonadati; Pseudomonadota; Gammaproteobacteria; Pseudomonadales; Pseudomonadaceae.
AUCAGAGGCUUGAAUAGAGCCUUCGAAGCACGUCCGUCGCCACUGCAUGGACCGUUUCGUGUCUUGACCGCCCAAAAGGCAGUUUGACGAGGUUGCGACUGGAACGAAGUUGUCCUGAGGGACGGUAGCCCUGUUCGGCAGUCAGAUAAAAUGUAGUGAGCUUCGCACUGUGC